Molecule: ribosomal RNA, 490 nt
Filed under: uncultured bacterium
Lineage: Bacteria
Description: partial 16S ribosomal RNA
Rfam family: Bacterial small subunit ribosomal RNA
Source: RNAcentral
AUUGAACGCUGGCGGCAGGCCUAACACAUGCAAGUCGAACGGUAACAGGAAGCAGCUUGCUGCUUCGCUGACGAGUGGCGGACGGGUGAGUAAUGUCUGGGAAGCUGCCUGAUGGAGGGGGAUAACUACUGGAAACGGUAGCUAAUACCGCAUAAUGUCGCAAGACCAAAGAGGGGGACCUUCGGGCCUCUUGCCAUCGGAUGUGCCCAGAUGGGAUUAGCUUGUUGGGGGGGUAACGGCUCACCAAGGCGACGAGCCCUAGCUGGUGUGAGAGGAUGGCCGGCCACACUGGAACUGAGACACGGUCCUGACUCCUACGGGAGGCAGCAGUGGGGAAUAUUGCACAAUGGGCGCAAGCCUGAUGCAGCCAGGCCGCGUGUAUGACGAAGGCCUUCGGGUUGUAAAGUACUUUCAGCGGUGAGGAAGGGAGUAAAGUUAAUACCUUUGCUCAUUGACGUUACCCGCAGAAGAAGCACCGGCUAACUCCGUG